AGCUCCAUCUUUCCAUCCCGAGCGCAGAAGAGCAGCGGAUGUGUUGAUGCUUUUUGACGUUUUGUUUUUAUUUUUAAACGCCCAGAGUCGAUGUGAAACGACCGCGAGCGGACUCCUGCUCCGUUAUUGUGCACCAGGGAUCCUGCAGCGAACGCGAUGCGGCGUGAGGCGGGUGUUAUGAGGUAGAUCGAGCCGCUGCUGCUGCGCUUCGGCCGCGGAGACACAUCUGAGAGAAUCCGCCGCAGGAGCGCUUCCGGCCCGCGCGAGAGCAGGCACAAGUAGACGCAGAAAUGAACAGAAUUCGGUGUUCAUGUGCAUCUGCGUGUCUACACCGGACGACAGAAUACUACAGAACCCAUUAUAAUCAGUGAAGCGGUCUACUCUGGAUGCGGUGCACGACAAAUCCCUGACGGAACCAUGAGUUUGCGAGAGCUGCAUCUGAACGGUCCAUGAUGAGCAGUGCGUCUGCAGAUCGUGAGGUGCGCUGUCUGCUGUGAACGCCACGCCUGACCCUCGGCCUGCUGGGAGCUGCAACUCUUUCCAUGUGUUUAUUUGAGGUGCUUUUAUGUCCAGAUCAGAAGCGCUUUCAGACUCUUUUCUCAUGGCUUUGAUUGCUCAGACACUAGCUGCGGAGUUCCUGUCUGCAUCGAGUGGCAAAGUAAUGCGGCCCUUUCUCUGGGCUGCGCUGUGAGCGUCUCGCUGCGGUCCUGUUGUGCUCGUCUUCUCUCUUCUGAGCGUCAGAAUGAGACAUUGUGUCGGGACAGAGAAGAGCGUGUGAUCUCUCGCCAGCAGUUUUGCGCUGAUCCAGAAAAAUGAAUGGAGGAAAAGAGAGGGAGGGUGCUGAGGGCAGAGGUCAGCUCGCCCAGGUGCCCAUCGGCUGGCAGCGCAAGGUGGAGGCUUCGGGGGUCCUGUAUAUCAGUCCGAGUGGAUCAGUGCUGUCCUGCCUCGAGCAGCUGAAGUCGUACCUGCUGACCGAUGGCACGUGUAAGUGUGGUCUGGAGUGUCCUCUCGUCCUCCACAAGGUCAGUACUCCGACGUAAUGCUGCCCAUUUCACACAACCUGGACAUCUUUCCAAAAGCCAUGUUGUCAUUGAUGAUAGUGCUGAUGUGCAGGAUAAAUCACUGUGCUGUAUUUUA
Sinocyclocheilus grahami is the source of this 1137-nucleotide long non-coding RNA. RefSeq lists it as uncharacterized. Lineage: Eukaryota; Metazoa; Chordata; Actinopteri; Cypriniformes; Cyprinidae. The record is from RefSeq and is a predicted model, not a curated record. The transcript is spliced from 4 exons.